GGGUGCGAUCAUACCAUCGUUAAUGCAUCAGAUCCCAUUAGAACUCUGAAGCUAAGAGUGCUUGGGCUAGAGUAGUACUGGGAUGGGUGACCUCUCGGGAAGUCUCAGUGUUGCACCCU
This is a non-coding RNA of Picea glauca (white spruce), 119 nucleotides long. NCBI's taxonomy places the organism in Eukaryota, Viridiplantae, Streptophyta, Pinopsida, Pinales, Pinaceae. The record is from Rfam.